This 468-nucleotide ribosomal RNA is filed under the name uncultured bacterium. Its description in RNAcentral is "partial 16S ribosomal RNA". It matches the Rfam family "Bacterial small subunit ribosomal RNA", at positions 28 to 507 of the family's 1533-position model. The record is from RNAcentral.
GACGAACGCUGGCGGCGUGCUUAACACAUGCAAGUCGAACGGAAAGGCCCUGCUUUUGUGGGGGGCUCGAGGGGCGAACGGGUGAGUAACACGUGAGUAACCUGCCCUUGACUUUGGUAUAACUUCAGGAAACGGGGUCUAAUACCGGAUGGGAGCUCCUGCUGCAGGGUGGGGGUGGGAAAGUUUCGGCGGUUGGGGAUGGACUCGCGGCUUAUCAGCUUGUUGGUGGGGUAGUGGCUUACCAAGGCUUUGAGGGGUAGCCGGCCUGAGAGGGUGACCGGCCACAUUGGGACUGAGAUACGGCCCAGACUCCUACGGGAGGCAGCAGUGGGGAAUAUUGCACAAUGGGCGGAAGCCUGAUGCAGCAACGCCGCGUGCGGGAUGACGGCCUUCGGGUUGUAAACCGCUUUCGCCUGUGACGAAGCGUGAGUGACGGUAAUGGGUAAAGAAGCACCGGCUAACUACGUG